Molecule: ribosomal RNA, 253 nt
Filed under: uncultured bacterium
Lineage: Bacteria
Description: partial 16S ribosomal RNA
Rfam family: Bacterial small subunit ribosomal RNA
Source: RNAcentral
UACGGGGGGGGCAAGCGUUGUUCGGAAUUACUGGGCAUAAAGGGCUCGUAGGCGGCCAACUAAGUCAGACGUGAAAUCCCUCGGCUUAACCGGGGAACUGCGUCUGAUACUGGAUGGCUUGAGUUCGGGAGAGGGAUGCGGAAUUCCAGGUGUAGCGGUGAAAUGCGUAGAUAUCUGGAGGAACACCGGUGGCGAAGGCGGCAUCCUGGACCGAUACUGACGCUGAGGAGCGAAAGCCAGGGGAGCAAACGGG